UACGUAGGGGGCAAGCGUUGUCCGGAUUUACUGGGCGUAAAGCGCGUGUAGGCGGCCAGAUAGGUCUGCUGUGAAAACUCGAGGCUCAACCUCGAGCUGUCGGCGGAAACCAUCUGGCUAGAGUCCGGAAGAGGAGAGUGGAAUUCCUGGUGUAGCGGUGAAAUGCGCAGAUAUCAGGAAGAACACCUAUGGCGAAGGCAGCUCUCUGGGACGGUACUGACGCUGAGACGCGAAAGCGUGGGGAGCGAACAGG
This 253-nucleotide ribosomal RNA is filed under the name uncultured bacterium. RNAcentral describes it as "partial 16S ribosomal RNA". It matches the Rfam family "Bacterial small subunit ribosomal RNA", at positions 524 to 776 of the family's 1533-position model. The record is from RNAcentral.